GCAGGCGCAUGCACGAACACAAACGUUUUGUGGGGAAGAAAAAUGGGACCACUUGUGAAAGGUGGUCAAAGAAAAGGCGUUGGAUUCAAUCCUCCUACCGUUCGUGUGGUCCGCGGUCUCCCGGUGUAACGCCAUCUCCCUCGAGCCGCCAUGGCGAUCAGCCGUCUCUCUGUGUGCCGGGGACUCGCGGUGAGCUCACCCGCGAAGUGCGGCCGGAGGAAGCAGGCCUCAUAGUCCCGCGCGGGGAUUCAACCGCCGAAAUGCAGCGAGCGAACAUUCGGAGGUUCGCCUUCGCCGGACGCCGAACAUUCUGUACGCAGCCGGGAGCUGACGGUAUCGAAGGAAGGGAGCCGUGGCCGGUGGCCAGACAUCUCGGUGGUGGACAUCCGGGAUUCAAUCACAUGGAUCCUGUGUAAAGUGGUCCCGCUCCUCGCUGAGCAAACUUCGACCUGGACGUCAACUCGAAUGAGUUUGAGUGAAGCAGAUUCCAUUGAUAAAGGGAGCGUCUCAGAACUGGAUGGUGACCACCGUUUGGCACAGGAACCGGAAACCAACUGACUGAAUAUCAUCAGGAAAUAAAAUGGUGUGGUCUUUAAUGUGACUGUGGUGCCUUCUCAUGAGUUUGAGUUCGGAUCCAAUCACUCCUCUCUCGCCCAGAAUCAAAAACGGCACAGGCCUGUGAACCAGGAAGUUAUUUGAAAAGCCGUUUUUGAGGCCCAUGUAUGGUGCACCCUUUGUCCUCUUUGGUAAGACAAUUUAGUGCACUCAAAGAAAAAACAUCUCUCACUACGAAUAUAUGUUUCUGCUACUGGUGCCACUUUUGGUCUACUAGUUCACAAUUAAACCUAGACCGACCCUACUAGUAGUAUCAACAUGCCAACUCGUAGUUUUGCCUCAUGAGUAAGUUGUCUUACAAAGUAUGUCAAAGUCAAACACUCGUAGGUCAUGAAAAUGCAUUCAAAUGAGCAAUUUCAUGAUCCAUCAACCUUAAUUAUUUAAAGUAGCAGUAUUGAUAUUGGCGAAACUGACCUGAUAUUUAAGUUUAUAUUAUUAGUAAGGCAAAUUUUAAUUA
Long non-coding RNA from Hippocampus comes (tiger tail seahorse), 1072 nucleotides. RefSeq lists it as uncharacterized. Lineage: Eukaryota; Metazoa; Chordata; Actinopteri; Syngnathiformes; Syngnathidae. The record is from RefSeq and is a predicted model, not a curated record. The transcript has 3 exons.